This 399-nucleotide long non-coding RNA is filed under the name Nicotiana benthamiana. RNAcentral describes it as "long non-coding RNA (NBEN_LNC013466)". The record is from RNAcentral. Lineage: Eukaryota; Viridiplantae; Streptophyta; Magnoliopsida; Solanales; Solanaceae.
UCACUGAAUUCCAUCAAAAUCUAAUGAGCAACCCGCCGAGGUUACAACAAUCAUGUUAGACUAAGAAGAGCCUUGGGUUCCAGUCCCUUGGACAGGCCGUCCAGAGUCCAGACCGAUGCUGCGCCUCAUUAGACAGCAGCGAAACAUACAACUCGAUGUUAAUCAAAGUGAAGUUGGUACGCUCCACAGCUCGGAAGGGUAUGACCCUCUCAGCCAUCGGGAUUUCUCCCGUGACGUCCAAUAAGAGCACCUGCUUUCCUAACCUUUUUCGAUAAAGUUUAUCCAUCCUUUUUCAAGAUGACCUGGAAAGGCUUGACCUUCUACUGGAUCUCAAUCUAUACACUUAAUGGAGCGCGAGCUUUCUAACUAUUUUAUGUGAGAUGGGUGCCUUCACCUCUG